This 624-nucleotide ribosomal RNA is filed under the name Staphylococcus saprophyticus. RNAcentral describes it as "bacterial SSU rRNA". It matches the Rfam family "Bacterial small subunit ribosomal RNA", at positions 138 to 749 of the family's 1533-position model. The record is from RNAcentral. Lineage: Bacteria; Bacillati; Bacillota; Bacilli; Caryophanales; Staphylococcaceae.
CUGGGAUAACUUCGGGAAACCGGAGCUAAUACCGGAUAACAUUUGGAACCGCAUGGUUCUAAAGUGAAAGAUGGUUUUGCUAUCACUUAUAGAUGGACCCGCGCCGUAUUAGCUAGUUGGUAAGGUAACGGCUUACCAAGGCAACGAUACGUAGCCGACCUGAGAGGGUGAUCGGCCACACUGGAACUGAGACACGGUCCAGACUCCUACGGGAGGCAGCAGUAGGGAAUCUUCCGCAAUGGGCGAAAGCCUGACGGAGCAACGCCGCGUGAGUGAUGAAGGGUUUCGGCUCGUAAAACUCUGUUAUUAGGGAAGAACAAAUGUGUAAGUAACUGUGCACAUCUUGACGGUACCUAAUCAGAAAGCCACGGCUAACUACGUGCCAGCAGCCGCGGUAAUACGUAGGUGGCAAGCGUUAUCCGGAAUUAUUGGGCGUAAAGCGCGCGUAGGCGGUUUCUUAAGUCUGAUGUGAAAGCCCACGGCUCAACCGUGGAGGGUCAUUGGAAACUGGGAAACUUGAGUGCAGAAGAGGAAAGUGGAAUUCCAUGUGUAGCGGUGAAAUGCGCAGAGAUAUGGAGGAACACCAGUGGCGAAGGCGACUUUCUGGUCUGUAACUGACGCUGA